AUCCGGGUUUAUUUGGUUUAAAGGGUGCGCAGGCGGAAGAUCAAGUCAGCGGUAAAAUUGAGAGGCUCAACCUCUUCGAGCCGUUGAAACUGGUUUUCUUGAGUGAGCGAGAAGUAUGCGGAAUGCGUGGUGUAGCGGUGAAAUGCAUAGAUAUCACGCAGAACUCCGAUUGCGAAGGCAGCAUACCGGCGCUCAACUGACGCUCAUGCACGAAAGUGUGGGUAUCGAACAGGAUUAGAUACCCUGGUAGUCCACACAGUAAACGAUGAAUACUAAUUGUUCGGGGAGAAUGAUCCCUGAGUGAUACAGCGAAAGCGUUAAGUAUUCCACCUGGGGAGUACGCCGGCAACGGUGAAACUCAAAGGAAUUGACGGGGGCCCGCACAAGCGGAGGAACAUGUGGUUUAAUUCGAUGAUACGCGAGGAACCUUACCCGGGCUCAAACGACACAGGAAUACUUUUGAAAGGAGGUAGCUCUACGGAGCCUGUGUCGAGGUGCUGCAUGGUUGUCGUCAGCUCGUGCCGUGAGGUGUCGGCUUAAGUGCCAUAACGAGCGCAACCCCCAUCGCCAGUUACCAGCAAGUCAAGUUGGGGACUCUGGCGAGACUGUCGGCGCAAGCUGUGAGGAAGGCGGGGAUGACGUCAAAUCAGCACGGCCCUUACGUCCGGGGCGACACACGUGUUACAAUGGCAGGUACAGAGAGAAGCAAUGCGGCGACGCAAAGCGGAACUUGAAAGCCUGUCUCAGUUCGGAUUGGAGUCUGCAACUCGACUCCAUGAAGCUGGAUUCGCUAGUAAUCGCGCAUCAGCCAUGGCGCGGUGAAUACGUUCCCGGGCCUUGUACACACCGCCCGUCAAG
This 858-nucleotide ribosomal RNA is filed under the name uncultured bacterium. RNAcentral's name for it is "bacterial SSU rRNA". It matches the Rfam family "Bacterial small subunit ribosomal RNA", at positions 543 to 1401 of the family's 1533-position model. The record is from RNAcentral.